AUACGUAGGUGACAAGCGUUAUCCGGAUUUACUGGGCGUAAAGGGCGUGUAGGCGGUCUUGCAAGUCAGAAGUGAAAUUCCUGAGCUCAACUCGGGCGCUGCUUCUGAAACUGCAGGACUUGAGUGCUGGAGGGGAUAGCGGAAUUCCUAGUGGAGCGGUAAAAUGCGCAGAUAUUAGGAAGAACACCGGUGGCGAAGGCGGCUAUCUGGACAGUAACUGACGCUGAGGCGCGAAAGCGUGGAGAGCAAACAGGAUUAGAUGCCCUAGUAGUCCACGCUGUAAACGAUGACAACUAAAUAUUGCCGCGAGGCAGUGUUGAAGCUAACGCAUUAAGUUGUCCGCCUGGGGAGUACGGUCGCAAGACUGAAACUUAAAGGAAUUGACGGGG
RNAcentral lists this ribosomal RNA (389 nucleotides) under uncultured bacterium. RNAcentral describes it as "partial 16S ribosomal RNA". It matches the Rfam family "Bacterial small subunit ribosomal RNA", at positions 523 to 918 of the family's 1533-position model. The record is from RNAcentral.